RNAcentral lists this ribosomal RNA (632 nucleotides) under Shigella flexneri. RNAcentral's name for it is "bacterial SSU rRNA". It matches the Rfam family "Bacterial small subunit ribosomal RNA", at positions 913 to 1533 of the family's 1533-position model. Lineage: Bacteria; Pseudomonadati; Pseudomonadota; Gammaproteobacteria; Enterobacterales; Enterobacteriaceae. The record is from RNAcentral.
ACGGGGGCCCGCACAAGCGGUGGAGCAUGUGGUUUAAUUCGAUGCAACGCGAAGAACCUUACCUGGUCUUGACAUCCACGGAAGUUUUCAGAGAUGAGAAUGUGCCUUCGGGAACCGUGAGACAGGUGCUGCAUGGCUGUCGUCAGCUCGUGUUGUGAAAUGUUGGGUUAAGUCCCGCAACGAGCGCAACCCUUAUCCUUUGUUGCCAGCGGUCCGGCCGGGAACUCAAAGGAGACUGCCAGUGAUAAACUGGAGGAAGGUGGGGAUGACGUCAAGUCAUCAUGGCCCUUACGACCAGGGCUACACACGUGCUACAAUGGCGCAUACAAAGAGAAGCGACCUCGCGAGAGCAAGCGGACCUCAUAAAGUGCGUCGUAGUCCGGAUUGGAGUCUGCAACUCGACUCCAUGAAGUCGGAAUCGCUAGUAAUCGUGGAUCAGAAUGCCACGGUGAAUACGUUCCCGGGCCUUGUACACACCGCCCGUCACACCAUGGGAGUGGGUUGCAAAAGAAGUAGGUGGCUUAACCUUCGGGAGGGCGCUUACCACUUUGUGAUUCAUGACUGGGGUGAAGUCGUAACAAGGUAACCGUAGGGGAACCUGCGGUUGGAUCACCUCCUUACCUUAAAGAAGC